This is a long non-coding RNA of Xenopus laevis (African clawed frog), 526 nucleotides long. RefSeq lists it as uncharacterized. The record is from RefSeq and is a predicted model, not a curated record. The transcript has 2 exons. Lineage: Eukaryota; Metazoa; Chordata; Amphibia; Anura; Pipidae.
GUUCCGUUACACAUCCACUCACUCCAGCCUUUAUACAUUACAUUUUGACUAACUACAUUGGAAACAUGUUUUAUUUUGCACAACCUAUUUACCCAGUUUUUAUACUGAACAAUUCCUUUAAGGCAGGAGCCACAGCCCUACACAGGUGUCUGAUGUAGCCUGUUAUUGUGAACAGACCUCCUGUAGAUGCUCAUUUCAGGAAAGAAGAAUGUUGCUGUGCAAGUUUCAUUGAUGUCCCUGGAAGGCUCACUCUGGCACACAUCAAGUACUAUGGGUCAGUUGUGCUCCCGUACAAGUGUUGGUCUGCUUGCAACCCAGAAGAAAUGUAAUGGUCAGUUUGGCCCUCCAAGUGUGCUCCCAAGUUGGCUACUGAUUGGAAGGGUUGAAUAAAUGCAUCUGCUGGUGUUUGUCAAUCAUUGAAUAAUGCCUGAUAACCAUCUGUACCCAAUUAUAUAUGUAUUUAUAUUUUAUUUAUAUAUUUAUGCUAUAACAUACACAUGCAAAUAAAAUUAAAAAUAUUUACCAA